Molecule: long non-coding RNA, 266 nt
Organism: Corylus avellana
Lineage: Eukaryota; Viridiplantae; Streptophyta; Magnoliopsida; Fagales; Betulaceae
Source: RefSeq, a predicted model, not a curated record
UCUGUUUCCUCUUCUUGACUAGAUUACCGUCAUGCAGUCAACUGUAAGAACAAAUCAUCAUCACAAGUUCUCUAAAGUGCACAAGUUUCUUGCCAUAGAACAGAUCUCUCUUGUGCAAAACAAUAUUCAGAACCAGCAGCUAGAGUUCAACCACUAGCUAGUAGCCUCGUCUUUGGAAAUCCAGGGAAAUGGUCUUGGGAAUUAAAAUUGAGAGAUGAUAUUGUGGUGGGUGCACCCGCAUUAAUGAUGCUUACAGAAUCGAUUUG